This 250-nucleotide non-coding RNA is filed under the name Emiliania huxleyi. Lineage: Eukaryota; Haptophyta; Isochrysidales; Noelaerhabdaceae. The record is from RNAcentral.
CCGCCUUCGUCGGCGACACGCUGCGCGUGUCGCGCGAGGAGAAUGGGGCGCUCUCGGUCUACGCCAAGACCGAGAAUGGCGCCGUGCAGGAAGAGAUAGCGAAGCUGCUCGCGACUCCGAUCGCCGUCGAAGACGAAGCGGGCGGCCAAGGGGUAGACGACCGGCCGAUGUGGCAGAAGCGGCUUGACGAGGAGCGGCGUGCCGACGAUGACCGGCUCGAGUCCGGCAUCCCGUAGUUGGAGUCGAGCUG